UCCUGUCUGAGCCUCAUAGACAGUUGGAACUGCAGGUAUGUGUCACUGCACCUGGUAGCAUCAUAUUUUUAAUAAUAAAUACUAUUCAUGUAUGUGUCUUAGUACAGAUUAUUGAAGCCCACAUGAUGUAAGCACCAGGAGAUGGAGAAUACACAAAAGAAACGUUCAUCAUGAUUAGAGUAGGAAGAAAAAAUAAAAUUCAACGUUAGACCCACAGACCCCUGCUCUGAGAGCUGCUUCUGGAGUCAGUGAUGCAUACAAAGAUCUGUACACAGGUGGGUGAUCCAUUACUCACCCGGAGGUCCCCUUGGGACUGUGGUGCCACUGACUGAGCACUUCUAUUACAUUCAUCACUGUUGUCAUCAUUACUCAAACGAUGGAGCAGAAUGAGAAUGAAAAAUGGACAUGAGCUAUGGAGACAAGCUGGUGUGAGGAUGAUGGGACACUGGUAUUAUAGUUAGUCUGAACACAGCCGAUAAAUAAAGACAUAGCGUAACAAAUCAAAGCAAGGCUUCUAUUGGAAACCCAUUGGUUGGAAAUAUGAAUUUUCAUGUUCUGUCACAAAGCUGAAUUAGUCUUUUACAAAUUUUGCCUCCUGAAAGAAAGCUUCCAACAAGCUAAAUAUUAAGCCUGCUAUAAAUUCAUGCCUAAUAUAAGAUGAUAUUUCCUUUCUGCAAAGGAAAAAUAAGAUGAUUCAGUCCAUGAGUAGAUUGAAAAGUGCAUUGGAGUUUGGAAUUCACAAAGUCAUAAAAUUAAUGUGUGGUGAGGGAUUAGCCUUUAUGACAACAUACAAGGAAAUGCACCAAUAAGAAAUUUGCUCAGAAGAUAAACUGUUUUUUUCCUGCCUACUGCCCAUCUGGC
This 861-nucleotide long non-coding RNA is filed under the name Marmota monax (woodchuck). The record is from RNAcentral. Lineage: Eukaryota; Metazoa; Chordata; Mammalia; Rodentia; Sciuridae.